RNAcentral lists this long non-coding RNA (458 nucleotides) under Nicotiana benthamiana. Its description in RNAcentral is "long non-coding RNA (NBEN_LNC039997)". Lineage: Eukaryota; Viridiplantae; Streptophyta; Magnoliopsida; Solanales; Solanaceae. The record is from RNAcentral.
AGCAAUUAAGCAAAGUUGUAAGCAUUCAAAGCAUUGUAAAGUUCUCAAAGUUCUCUUAAUAAAAGAGUUCUUUCUUCCAACUACUAGUUUCCUUCGCUAAGUUUCUACAAGCUUAGUCUUUCUUAAGUUCUACUAAGCUUCCGGGUAGGCUGACUAGCUAACUUUGGCAUUGAAAGUUCGCUAGGCCGGACAAAUCGUCGUGUUUGAGUUACGGUCUUGUCACACUAGGGUAGGGGUAAGGUCUGCGUACAUACUACCCUCCCCAGACCCCACUAAGUGGGAUUAUACAGGGUUGUACUUUUUUGUACUUUUUUAGAUAUAUAAAAUUUAUAUUGAAUAGUUUAGUUGGAAUUUUUUUUCUUUCAAAUUUAAACACCAUUGAAAAUAUUUAUGGCUUCGCCAUAUUGUAAUCAUGUGUUCUAUGAAAACCUCCUGUUUUGGACUCUCUUCACAAUCGU